This 468-nucleotide ribosomal RNA is filed under the name uncultured bacterium. RNAcentral's name for it is "partial 16S ribosomal RNA". It matches the Rfam family "Bacterial small subunit ribosomal RNA", at positions 28 to 507 of the family's 1533-position model. The record is from RNAcentral.
GACGAACGCUGGCGGCGUGCUUAACACAUGCAAGUCGAACGGAAAGGCCCUGCUUUUGUGGGGUGCUCGAGUGGCGAACGGGUGAGUAACACGUGAGUAACCUGCCCUUGACCUUGGGAUAACUUCAGGAAACUGGGGCUAAUACCGGAUAGGAGCUCCUGCUGCAUGGUGGGGGUUGGAAAGUUUCGGCGGUUGGGGAUGGACUCGCGGCUUAUCAGCUUGUUGGUGGGGUAGUGGCUUACCAAGGCUUUGACGGGUAGCCGGCCUGGGAGGGUGACCGGCCACAUUGGGACUGAGAUACGGCCCAGACUCCUACGGGAGGCAGCAGUGGGGAAUAUUGCACAAUGGGCGGAAGCCUGAUGCAGCAACGCCGCGUGCGGGAUGACGGCCUUCGGGUUGUAAACCGCUUUCGCCUGUGACGAAGCGUGAGUGACGGUAAUGGGUAAAGAAGCACCGGCUAACUACGUG